Molecule: ribosomal RNA, 575 nt
Filed under: uncultured bacterium
Lineage: Bacteria
Description: bacterial SSU rRNA
Rfam family: Bacterial small subunit ribosomal RNA
Source: RNAcentral
ACGGGAGGCAGCAGUGAGGAAUAUUGCACAAUGGAGGAAACUCUGAUGCAGCCAUGCCGCGUGCAGGAUGAAUGCCCUAUGGGUUGUAAACUGCUUUUCUGCAAGAAGAAACCUUAGUACGUGUACUAAGCUGACGGUACUGCAGGAAUAAGCACCGGCUAACUCCGUGCCAGCAGCCGCGGUAAUACGGAGGGUGCAAGCGUUAUCCGGAUUUAUUGGGUUUAAAGGGUCCGCAGGCGGAACUUUAAGUCAGUGGUGAAAGCCUACAGCUUAACUGUAGAACUGCCAUUGAUACUGAAGUUCUUGAGUGUGGUUGAUGUGGGCGGAAUAUGUCAUGUAGCGGUGAAAUGCAUAGAUAUGACAUGGAACACCUAUUGCGAAAGCAGCUCACAAAACCAUUACUGACGCUCAUGGACGAAAGUGUGGGUAGCGAACAGGAUUAGAUACCCUGGUAGUCCACACCGUAAACUAUGAUCACUAGAUGUUGGCGAUAAAAUGUCAGUGUUAAAGAGAAAUCGUUAAGUGAUCCACCUGGGGAGUACGUUCGCAAGAAUGAAACUCAAAUGAAUUGACGG